GUGUUCGCUUCGGCAGCACGUAUACUAAAAUUGAAACGAUACAGAGAAGAUUAGCACGGCCCCUGCGCAAGGAUGACACGCAAAUUCGUGAAGCGU
This 96-nucleotide small nuclear RNA is filed under the name Scleropages formosus (Asian bonytongue). The record is from RNAcentral. Lineage: Eukaryota; Metazoa; Chordata; Actinopteri; Osteoglossiformes; Osteoglossidae.